This 71-nucleotide transfer RNA is filed under the name Marmota monax (woodchuck). RNAcentral's name for it is "tRNA.Ala". Lineage: Eukaryota; Metazoa; Chordata; Mammalia; Rodentia; Sciuridae. The record is from RNAcentral.
GGGGUUGUGGCUCAGCGGCAGAGCACUUGCCUAGCACAUGCAAGGCCCUGGGUUCGAUCCUCAGCACCACA